This is a non-coding RNA of Podarcis lilfordi (Lilford's wall lizard), 80 nucleotides long. Lineage: Eukaryota; Metazoa; Chordata; Lepidosauria; Squamata; Lacertidae. The record is from the annotation of a GenBank genome assembly.
UUCCAGAUACCCGCUCAUUCUAUAAGGAGCAUGAGACUCUGAAUCUCAGGGUUGUGGGUUCAAGCCCCACUUUGGGCAAA